UAAAUAAAUACGCUUAAUCCCAUUGUAAAGGAGCGGGGGAACCAACUUUGCAACUUGUUGUAGUACACAGUAAGUUGCUUGGGGUGAAUCCUAUAUUUUAGGUAGGGCUACUCUUCGGCCCGAAUCCGACAGCUAACCUCGUAAGCGUUUGAAGGGGCUUAC
RNAcentral lists this small RNA (162 nucleotides) under Natranaerobius thermophilus. RNAcentral's name for it is "c-di-AMP sequence". It matches the Rfam family "c-di-AMP riboswitch aptamer (ydaO/yuaA leader)". Rfam says of the family: This family represents a conserved RNA structure found upstream of the ydaO and yuaA genes in Bacillus subtilis and related genes in other bacteria. The ydaO/yuaA element is thought to act as a genetic "off" switch for the ydaO and yuaA genes in its native state. RNAcentral also lists the same sequence under 1 other name. The record is from RNAcentral. Lineage: Bacteria; Bacillati; Bacillota; Clostridia; Natranaerobiales; Natranaerobiaceae.